UGCCCAAGAGAUCGGGAUAACACCUGGAAACAGAUGCUAAUACCGGAUAACAACAGAUGAUGCCUAUCAACUGUUUAAAAGAUGGUUCUGCUAUCACUCUUGGAUGGACCUGCGGUGCAUUAGCUAGUUGGUAGGGUAACGGCCUACCAAGGCGAUGAUGCAUAGCCGAGUUGAGAGACUGAUCGGCCACAUUGGGACUGAGACACGGCCCGAAACUCCCUACGGGAGGCGAGCAGCC
This 238-nucleotide ribosomal RNA is filed under the name uncultured Lactobacillus sp. Its description in RNAcentral is "partial 16S ribosomal RNA". It matches the Rfam family "Bacterial small subunit ribosomal RNA", at positions 127 to 349 of the family's 1533-position model. Lineage: Bacteria; Bacillati; Bacillota; Bacilli; Lactobacillales; Lactobacillaceae. The record is from RNAcentral.